UACGUAGGUGGCAAGCGUUGUCCGGAAUUACUGGGCGUAAAGGGCGUGUAGGUGGACUGAUCAGUCGGAUGUGAAAUAUCCAGGCUUAACCUGGGGGCUGCAUCCGAUACGGUCAGUCUUGAGUGCAGGAGAGGGCAGUGGAAUUCCCAGUGUAGCGGUGAAAUGCGUAGAUAUUGGGAGGAACACCAGUGGCGAAGGCGGCUGCCUGGACUGUAACUGACACUGAGGCGCGAAAGCGUGGGGAGCAAACAGG
RNAcentral lists this ribosomal RNA (253 nucleotides) under uncultured bacterium. Its description in RNAcentral is "partial 16S ribosomal RNA". It matches the Rfam family "Bacterial small subunit ribosomal RNA", at positions 524 to 776 of the family's 1533-position model. The record is from RNAcentral.